RNAcentral lists this long non-coding RNA (414 nucleotides) under Arachis ipaensis. RNAcentral describes it as "long non-coding RNA (AIPA_LNC002209)". The record is from RNAcentral. Lineage: Eukaryota; Viridiplantae; Streptophyta; Magnoliopsida; Fabales; Fabaceae.
AUUGUUCUUUAGAGCUUCUUGGCAAUCCGAUAUUAGUGGCUAGUGUAGUGGGUUCUACUUCUACACACAAAAAUUACAGCUGCUACACAUUCCUUGUGCUCAGAAAUCUCGUGAUGUUCAUCUGCAAAAAAGUCAAGCAUUGCCAACUAAUUUGUCAUACUUUGAGAAAUUAAUAUUCUCUCUUAUACACUAGCAUAACAUAAUCUGAGGGAAAGAAGCAACAAGCAUUAAAUCAAGUGAGCUUUCUUCCAGAAUUAAUAGAUUGAGCUUUAAUUCUAUCUUUUUUUUCAUGGUAAGUGAAAUUCCCUUUUUUUUUCUUGGUUAUCCUUAUGUAAUACAUAUUUGAAUGAAUCAGAAACCAUUCGUGGGACAGAAGCAAUAAACAAGAAAAGGUGUCACAUGUGGUGAAUGAGC